AUUGAACGCUGGCGGCAGGCCUAACACAUGCAAGUCGAGCGAGAGGCGGACGGGUGAGUAAUGUAUGGGGAUCUGCCCGAUAGAGGGGGAUAACUCCUGGAAACGGUGGCAAAUACCGCCUACAAUCGGAUAGACCCAUAUGGGAUUAGCUAGUAGGUGGGGUAAAGGCUCACCUAGGCGACGAUCCCUACCUGGUCUGGGAGGGUGACCAGCCAAACUGGGACUGAGAAACGGUCCAGACUCCUACGGGAGGCAGCAGUGGGGAAUAUUGCACAAUGGGCGCAAGCCUGAUGCAGCCAUGCCGCGUGUAUGAAGAAGGCCUUAGGGGUGUAAAGUACUUUCAGCGGGGAGGCGUUACCCGCAGAAGAAGCACCGGCUAACUCCGUGCCAGCAGCCGCGGUAAUAC
Molecule: ribosomal RNA, 406 nt
Filed under: uncultured bacterium
Lineage: Bacteria
Description: partial 16S ribosomal RNA
Rfam family: Bacterial small subunit ribosomal RNA
Source: RNAcentral